AUUGAACGCUGGCGGCAUGCUUUACACAUGCAAGUCGAACGGUAACAGGCCGCAAGGUGCUGACGAGUGGCGAACGGGUGAGUAACGCAUCGGAACGUGCCCAGUCGUGGGGGAUAACGCAGCGAAAGCGGUGAUAAUACCGCACACGAUCUAUGGAUGAAAGCGGGGGACCGGAAGUCCUCGCGCGUUUGGAGCGGCCGAUGUCAGAUUAGGUAGUUGGUGGGGUAAAGGCUCACCAAGCCGACGAUCUGUAGCUGGUCUGGGAGGACGAGCAGCCACACUGGGACUGAGACACGGCCCAGACUCCUACGGGAGGCAGCAGUGGGGAAUUUUGGACAAUGGGCGCAAGCCUGAUCCAGCAAUGCCGCGUGCAGGAAGAAGGCCUUCGGGUUGUAAACUGCUUUUGUACGGAACGAAAAGGCUCUGGUUAAUACCUGGGGCUCAUGACGGUACCGUAAGAAUAAGCACCGGCUAACUACGUGCCAGCCGCCGCCGUAA
This 498-nucleotide ribosomal RNA is filed under the name uncultured bacterium. RNAcentral's name for it is "partial 16S ribosomal RNA". It matches the Rfam family "Bacterial small subunit ribosomal RNA", at positions 29 to 523 of the family's 1533-position model. The record is from RNAcentral.